UUCUUGGAGAGUUUGAUCCUGGCUCAGGACGAACGCUGGCGGCGUGCCUAAUACAUGCAAGUCGAGCGAAAGUU
Molecule: ribosomal RNA, 74 nt
Filed under: Neobacillus notoginsengisoli
Lineage: Bacteria; Bacillati; Bacillota; Bacilli; Caryophanales; Bacillaceae
Description: Bacillus notoginsengisoli partial 16S ribosomal RNA
Rfam family: Bacterial small subunit ribosomal RNA
Source: RNAcentral